GGCUUACGGGUAGCUGGUCUGAGAGGAUGAUCAGCCACACUGGAACUGAGACACGGUCCAGACUCCUACGGGAGGCUGCAGUCGAGAAUCAUUGUCAAUGCACGAAAGUGUGAACAUGCGACGCCGCGUGGAGGAAGACGGCCUUCGGGUUGUAAACUCCUGUCAGCAGGGAGUAAGUGCAGCAUUACUAAUAUUAAUGCUGCUUGAUAGUACCUGCAGAGGAAGUCACGGCUAACUCUGUGCCAGCAGCCGCGGUAAUACAGAGGUGGCGAACGUUGUUCGGAUUUACUGGGCGUAAAGGGUCCGCAGGCGGUCCGGUGUGUCGGAUGUGAAAGCUCACAGCUCAACUGUGGAAUUGCAUUCGAAACUGCCGGACUAGAGUACUGGAGGGGAGAAGGGAACACUUGGUGUAGCGGUGAAAUGCGUAGAUAUCAAGUGGAACACCGGAGGCGAAGGCGCUUCUCUGGACAGAUACUGACGCUCAUGGACGAAAGCUUGGGUAGCGAAAGGGAUUAGAUACCCCUGUAGUCCAAGCCGUAAACGGUGUGCACUAGACGUGGGUGGAUUUACCCCCAUCCGUGUCUGAGCUAACGCAUUAAGUGCACCGCCUGGGGAGUACGGUCGCAAGAUUAAAACUCAAAGGAAUUGACGGGGACCCGCACAAGCGGUGGAGCAUGUGGCUUAAUUCGAUGCAACGCGAAGAACCUUACCUGGACUUGACAUAUAGCUGCAUACGACCUGAAAGGGACGUAGCCUUCGAGGGUGCUAUACAGGUGCUGCAUGGCUGUCGUCAGCUCGUGCCGUGAGGUGUUGGGUUAAGUCCCGCAACGAGCGCAACCCCUGUGUUUAGUUGCCAGCACGUAAUGGUGGGAACUCUAAACAGACUGCUUGUGAAAACAAGAGGAAGGUGGGGAUGACGUCAAGUCAGUAUGUCCUUAUGUCCAGGGCUGCACACGUGCUACAAUGGGCGAUACAAUGGGAAGCCAAGCCGCGAGGUGGAGCAAAUCCUCAAAAUCGCCCCCAGUUCGGAUCGUAGUCUGAAACUCGACUGCGUGAAGUUGGAAUCGCUAGUAAAGGCGUAUCAGCUACGACGCCUUGAAUACGUUCCCGGGUCUUGUACACACCGCCCGUCACAUCAUGGAAGUUGGUUGCACCCGAAGUCGCUGAUCCAACCUUUUACUAGGAGGAAGGCGCCUAAGGUGUGAUCAAUAACUGGGAUGAAGUCGGAACAAGGUA
This 1236-nucleotide ribosomal RNA is filed under the name metagenome. Its description in RNAcentral is "bacterial SSU rRNA". It matches the Rfam family "Bacterial small subunit ribosomal RNA", at positions 274 to 1498 of the family's 1533-position model. The record is from RNAcentral.